CUUGGUGUUAUUUUUUCAACUAAAUUAGGUUGGUCAGAUUAUAUUGAUAGUAUUGUCAGUAAAGGCUACAAAAAACUAGGACUUCUCAAGAAACUUAAAUUUUCAGUGUCUAGAGAUACGUUAUCCAAACUUUACACUUCUUUUAUUCGACCACAACUUGAGUAUGCAUCUGAAGUUUGGUCAGGCUGUUCGCUGGCAGAUAUUGAUAAACUUGAAAAGCUUCAACUGACAGCCGCUAGAAUAGUGACUGGUCUUUCAGUAUUAGCAUCAAGAAAUUCGUUGUAUAUUGAAACAGGCUUGAAUUAUACAACAAAUCAUUUGUCCCCGAUACUGUUCGCAAAUGGAAUUCACUAAGCAACGAAACAAGGGAAAUAACCUCAAUAGGAAUUUUUAAAAGAAAAUUGAGUAAUAAUAAUGAUAAGCCUCCCAAGUAUUUUUCAUAUGGCAAAAGGUAUCUGAACAUUUUACAUACAAAAUUAAGACACAAUUGUAUUUUAAAUAAUGAUCUGUAUAGAUGUAAUAUCAUAAGUAAUCCAAAUUGUUCUUGUGGUAUGAAAGAGGAUAGUCAUCAUUUUUUCUUUGUUUGUAGAAAAUAUUUUGAACCUAGACGCCUAAUGAUGAAUGCACUACUUUUAACUUAUAAUGUAAAAAUGAUUAAUGUGCACAAAUUGCUAUGGGGAGAUGAUUCCUUAUCUUCGCAGGAAAAUGAAAAAAUUUUCGGAA
Molecule: long non-coding RNA, 723 nt
Organism: Saccostrea cuccullata (small rock oyster)
Lineage: Eukaryota; Metazoa; Mollusca; Bivalvia; Ostreida; Ostreidae
Exons: 2
Source: RefSeq, a predicted model, not a curated record